GCACUAUGAUAAAAAGGGGAAAUUAAAUUCUUUGAAAACAACAGCCAGCCAUUUAACUAAAUUAAAACUAUUCACUCAGCAAUCCUAUUUCCUUCUGAAAAUUUUCUUGAAUCUCCAAUUUUAACAAAUGGAUUAUAUAAUUUCUUCAUACCUCUUGCUAAGAUGCUACACUUUCUUCCAUUUUCUUAGAGAGUACAAUUUAUCUAAAAUUUCAUAUAGAAACUUAAACAGAGAAAACUAAUAAUAAUAAUAUCAGGAAUGAAAAGUCUGGGGAGGAAAAAUCAAGUAGUUGAAGAAGAAAAACUAGGAGAAGCUAUGCCCUUCUUCACCCUUUCCCACCACCACCAGUUAUGCACUCUCUUUGACCCACCACAACCACCACCACCACCACUGUUUACACUCACAGCAGCUUCAUUUCUCUUUUUAAACUUGAGCCUUUUCAAUUGAAAACAACCCAUCAAACCUACCUUUUCAUUCUCUAAAUUUUCUUUCUUGAGCAGCUGCUGAUAAUACUCGUUGUUCCUCUUCUCCAACCCAUAUAUCUGGCCCUGAAGAUCCUCAAUUUUACGAGUAAGCAUCCACACCCUGUGAUCUUCUCUCAUUUUCAACACACACCUUGCAAGUUGAGCAGCUUUUCUCUUCAAGAACAAGGCCUCCGAUGAGAGCCCUUUAUUCUCUUCUAUCAGUGCAGCCAUCUUACACCCCAAACUCGCAUUCUCGUUCAGUAAAUAGAUCCUUUCAGACUCUAGCACCUCCAGUAGUUUCUUCAGAAGCUCUACCUUUCUCCAUGAUUCUUGGCAUUCCUGCUCUAAUAUAUCCUCCUCCACGCUCUUCAUUACCAUAUGGGCUACAAUCUCAUCAACUCCAAAUUUGGCUUCUGAUGAUUGUACAACGCCUUGAGUUUGAUACUGAUACAGGAUUUUCCCAACAUCAUGAUCAACAUCCUCUUCUUCUUUUUCAUCAAAACUGGUGUCUGCAGACGUUAGAGAAGAAGAGCAUCGCCGCUGAUGCUUGUUGCCUUGCAUCUUGUUGCAACGGUCAAGCAAGCUGAUGUAGCCAUUGUACAAGUCUUGGAGAAGAGCAAGAAGUUGAGGACGUCUCCGGAAAAACCAUUCAGCACGCUCUGAGAAGCUGUCGCCAGCGGCGGCGGCCGCUUGCUCUGUUUCAAGAAACGUUUUAAUUCGGUGGUGGAGGUCUGCCAUUACAUUAGGCAACAAGAGAGAAAAAGAAUUUAUUGUCGGUUGAAAUGAUGAUAUGUAUAUCGACAUAUAUAGGUAGCAUUUAAUUGAGCAUAUUAAGCCAAUGGAGCCUCACGUCACCCCCUCAGGUCUUCAGCAUUCA
Molecule: unclassified non-coding RNA, 1341 nt
Filed under: Hevea brasiliensis (rubber tree)
Lineage: Eukaryota; Viridiplantae; Streptophyta; Magnoliopsida; Malpighiales; Euphorbiaceae
Source: RNAcentral